Long non-coding RNA from Rhodamnia argentea, 1093 nucleotides. RefSeq lists it as uncharacterized. The transcript has 4 exons. The record is from RefSeq and is a predicted model, not a curated record. Lineage: Eukaryota; Viridiplantae; Streptophyta; Magnoliopsida; Myrtales; Myrtaceae.
AUUUCCUAACCGUUUUGGCAUGUUUAUAAACCAUCGCCAGGUACUAGUAUCUUCAACCAUCUGAAGAUACUUCUCUACUUCACAUUUUCACAUGCUCAAGAGACGGCACAACAAAGAAUCCUCCAUGGAUACCCAAGACAGUUCGAUUUUGAAACCAUAGCCAGUCAUGCCAAUCGCAGACGUUAUUGAAAAAUAUCGACCAUUAUUUGAAAACGUAUUGAAAGGUAUUUGGAAAGUUGACAAGAAAAUCCCCAAUGAAGAUUGUGAAGCAAUGAUGGCCAAUAUUAUGACCUUGUGCUUGAUGUUGUGGAUAUAGCUGCACAAGAUCAAUUGGUCAAAAAUUUGGAGCUUGUUUGGUACCUGGCCGAGCUUGCAACAUCCACCCUAUCUAAUGGUAGCUUGAGGAACCUUUCUACGGUCAGCCAUUUGGGGGCUCUCCAGAGCGCUGAUGGUUUGUUGGGAGCCUCUGUUGCCUUGCUGCUGAACAAGGCCAACGUUGUCCACGAUCCUAGCUUGGUCAAGGUCAGUUGAUGCUUUGGAAAGAUUGGUAUUCAUGUACUACCGUCAUUGCCUCCACAAUGAAAUGUACCAUUAUCAUGAGUCGCCAUGAGGCUACAAGACAAUGUUCUAUCCUACAUCCAUUGCUCUACCUCUUUGAGCAAAUCUUGGCAUUCUUCUACAAAAACUUCCCAGUAUGUAUUUUCUACCAUCUAUCAUUAUCCUGCCUUGCCAUGAAAGAGGGCUGCUAUCUUCCACUACCUUUAAAAAAAUAAAGGAAGUCUAUCAAGAUCAGUGUAAAUUUUUCUGGCCGAAUGAUUGUUAUAAAAUAAAGAGCACAAAAUGUGGCAAAUAAAUAAGGUGAACCGACUUUGGACUUCCCUUUGCAGAAGGAAAGUUGCUCCAAAAAUAUAUGUCAGGAGACAUUCUGGUGGUCAUUCUACUACUGCAUCCAUUAGGCUAAACAACUCGAUCAUAUAGUUUGUUAAUUGUCACAUUAUGUUGUGUGUAUUCAGUAGUCUAAACAACUCAACAUGCCUUGUUUUUGCCAUCGAUCUUUUUAGUUAUUUUGUGAAAUUUUCUUCCCACAGAGAUU